This 492-nucleotide ribosomal RNA is filed under the name uncultured bacterium. RNAcentral describes it as "partial 16S ribosomal RNA". It matches the Rfam family "Bacterial small subunit ribosomal RNA", at positions 29 to 507 of the family's 1533-position model. The record is from RNAcentral.
AGUGAACGCUAGCAGUAGGCCUAACACAUGCAAGUCGAACGGCAGCACAGUAAGAGCUUGCUCUUACGGGUGGCGAGUGGCGGACGGGUGAGGAAUACAUCGGAAUCUACUUUUUCGUGGGGGAUAACGUAGGGAAACUUACGCUAAUACCGCAUACGACCUACGGGUGAAAGCAGGGGAUCUUCGGACCUUGCGCGAUUGAAUGAGCCGAUGUCGGAUUAGCUAGUUGGCGGGGUAAAGGCCCACCAAGGCGACGAUCCGUAGCUGGUCUGAGAGGAUGAUCAGCCACACUGGAACUGAGACACGGUCCAGACUCCUACGGGAGGCAGCAGUGGGGAAUAUUGGACAAUGGGCGCAAGCCUGAUCCAACCAUACCGCGUGGGUGAAGAAGGCCUUCGGGUUGUAAAGCCCUUUUGUUGGGAAAGAAAAGCAGCAGGUUAAUACCCCGCUGUUCUGACGGUACCCAAAGAAUAAGCACCGGCUAACUUCGUG